UACCUCUCAGGAUCGCACCUGGAGAGUUUCCAGUCCUCUACCAGUCUCGAUUAUGGGAGGGAGAGUCAAGCAGAGGCAUACCCACUCCAUUCCUAGCUUGGCCAGUGGCUAGAGAGCGGAAGGCAAUCGGCUACAAGU
Tachyglossus aculeatus (Australian echidna) is the source of this 138-nucleotide small nucleolar RNA. NCBI's taxonomy places the organism in Eukaryota, Metazoa, Chordata, Mammalia, Monotremata, Tachyglossidae. The record is from RefSeq and is a predicted model, not a curated record.